Molecule: ribosomal RNA, 2228 nt
Filed under: human gut metagenome
Description: bacterial LSU rRNA
Rfam family: Bacterial large subunit ribosomal RNA
Source: RNAcentral
AGGAAAAGAAAGAAAACUCGAUUCCGUAAGUAGCGGCGAGCGAACGCGGAAGAGCCUAAACCAGAUCGCGUGCGAUCUGGGGUUACGGACUGCAUUUAAGAUUCUGCAAUGUUAGUGGAACGGUUUUGGGAAAGCCGGCCGGAGAGGGUGAAAGCCCCGUAGACGAAAACAGAGCAGACUGAGCAGGAUCCAGAGUACCGCGGGACACGAGAAACCCUGCGGGAAGUCAGGGGGACCACCCCCUAAGGCUAAAUACCACUUAGUGACCGAUAGCGCAUAGUACUGUGAAGGAAAGGUGAAAAGGACCCCGGGAGGGGAGUGAAAGAGAACCUGAAACCCUGUGUCUACAAGCUGUGGAAGUGCUUUAUAUGCACAACCGCGUACUUUUUGUAGAACGGUCCGGCGAGUUGCGCUCACUGGCAAGGUUAAACACUUAAGGUGUGGAGCCGUAGGGAAACCAAGUCUUAACAGGGCCAGAGUCAGUGGGGGCAGACCCGAAACCGGGUGAUCUAUCCAUGUCCAGGUUGAAGCUGCCGUAAGAGGCAGUGGAGGACCGAACCCACAUCCGUUGAAAAGGGUGGGGAUGAGGUGUGGAUAGGGGAGAAAUUCCAAUCGAACCCGGAGAUAGCUGGUUCUCCUCGAAAUAGCUUUAGGGCUAGCCUUGGUAGAGAUUUGCGGAGGUAGAGCACUGAAUUUCCUAGGGGGCGUCAAAGCCUACCGAAGAAUAUCAAACUCCGAAUGCCGUGUAAUUGCUUACCAGGAGUCAGACUGUACGAGAUAAGUUGGACAGUCAAAAGGGAAAGAGCCCAGACCUUCAGUUAAGGUCCCAAAGUGUGCGUUAAGUGGAAAAGGAUGUGGGAUUUCGAAGACAACCAGGAUGUUGGCUCAGAAGCAGCCAUACAUUCAAAGAGUGCGUAAUAGCUCACUGGUCGAGAGGUCCUGCGCCGAAAAUGUCCGGGGCUGAAACGUACCACCGAAACUAAGGAAUCCGAAAGGAUUGGUAGAGGAGCAUUGCAUGCGGGAUGAAGCAGUACCGUAAGGAGCUGUGGACUGCAUGGAAGAGAGAAUGCCGGAAUGAGUAGCGAGAUAGAGGUGAGAAUCCUCUAGGCCGAAUAUCCAAGGUUUCCAGGGUAAAGCUGAUCUGCCCUGGGUAAGUCGGGGCCUAAGGUGAGGGCGAGAGCCGUAGCCGAUGGACAACAGGUGGAGAUUCCUGUACUAUGAUAUGACAGAACUGUGGGGACACGUGCAGAGAGCGGAAGCCGGGAAUGGAAUCCCGGUGCAAGCGGGGUACCAGUCACAUUGGAAAAACCGUGUGGCAAUGGGAAGACGUGAUGCGGAGUGAAAAAUAGUAACGAAGUCCGUGAGCUGUGCGUCAAGAAAAGCCGCUAUUGUUCAUACCAUACCCGUACCGUAAACCGACACAGGUGGAUGAGGAGAGAAUCCUAAGGCCGGCGGAAGAAGCAUUGUCAAGGAACUCGGCAAAAUGACCCCGUAACUUCGGGAGAAGGGGUGCCACUGAAAAGUGGCCGCAGAGAAUAGGCUCAAGCAACUGUUUAGCAAAAACACAGGUCUAUGCGAAACCGUAAGGUGAGGUAUAUGGGCUGACGCCUGCCCGGUGCUGGAAGGUUAAGAGGAGAGGUUAGCGCAAGCGAAGCUUUGAAUUUAAGCCCCAGUAAACGGCGGCCGUAACUAUAACGGUCCUAAGGUAGCGAAAUUCCUUGUCGGGUAAGUUCCGACCCGCACGAAAGGCGUAAUGAUUUGAGCGCUGUCUCGACAAUGCAUCCGGUGAAAUUGAAGUACCAGUGAAGAUGCUGGUUACCUGCGCCAGGACGGAAAGACCCCAUGGAGCUUUACUCCAGUUUGGUACUGGGAUCCGGUACUGCAUGUACAGGAUAGGUGGGAGGCUGUGAAAUAGUAACGCCAGUUAUUAUGGAGCCGCUGUUGGGAUACCACCCUUGCAGUAUUGGGUUUCUAACCAGCCGCCGUGACCCGGCGGUGGGACAAUGCCAGACGGGGAGUUUGACUGGGGCGGUCGCCUCCGAAAGGGUAUCGGAGGCGCCCAAAGGUUCCCUCAGAAUGGACGGAAACCAUUCGAAGAGUGCAAAGGCAGAAGGGAGCUUGACUGCGACACCGACGGGUGGAGCAGGUACGAAAGUAGGGCUUAGUGAUCCGGUGGUAUUAAGUGGGAAUGCCAUCGCUCAACGGAUAAAAGCUACCCUGGGGAUAAC